UUUAACGUCAAAGGUAAAAUCAACCACUUUGUCCAUAACUCAGAUCCAUCGGAGAAGAUUAUGAGAGAUGAAAAACUCAAACGCUAGAUAAUGAAAUAUGCAUUACUAGCAUUUAAUUCUCAGGUGAGUCUAGCUGAAGAGAUUGAUGUUAAUGACGUCCUCUGAAAAUUAAUUGUUUGAGGAUGGAUGAAUGAGUAUUUUCAAAAUUUCUUCCUCCUUUUCAUGUUGCUGUUUAUGGUUUUGCCAAGUUCACAUUAAGUUUUGUUACAGGCUUGACGGUGCAACUUAUCAAUCAAAGCCUCAACAAAAAAGGGGCUAAACUUACUUGCUUAAAAUGAAUGUGUUAUUGUCAUUUUCCCUACGUAGGGCGCACAUUUUCAUUUAAACUAGUAUCCAACAUUUUGGCAACUGUUCCGUUUCUAAACUGUAAGUAACACUAUGUAUGUCACUCUUGGUUUUUUGUUUGCUUUUGAAGUUUUUUCUUUUUAUUUAUUUUUUUAUUAAAGUGCAGUUUAUUUACAGUGUUAAUUUCUGCAGUGCAGCAAAGUGACUCUCUUAUACAUACAUACCUUCUUUUUUAUGUUUCUUUCCAUUAUGGUUUAUCCCGGAGAUUGGAUAUUUUUCCCUGUGCUAUAGAGUAUCCUAUAUAGUAGGACAGACCCUAUUUAGUAAGAUAGAUCUUAUAGAGUAGGAUCUCUGUCGAUUCUAAAGGUAAUAAUUUGCAUCUGUUGACCCUGAACUUGGUUUGGAAGUCAGCGCUCUAGUUGAAUGUCAUUAAAGGGGCCACCGGAGGCGUGGUGCUGCUUUUAACGAGGAAAACCGUGAACUUUGAAAAUGGCUUCUCAACCCCGCAUUCACUUUUACUUGGUGUGUGAAAGCUGUUCUGUGUCCGUUUUUCUCUUAAUGUUUAAUAAAUACUAUAGUUAUGGAUAAUAGUACUUCAUAUAUAAUAGGAGAUCUCUGUAUAUUUUAUUUAUGAAUAUAUCAUGAUCAAUAAAUGCAUGUUUACUGGGUUGGGUUGGUACCAAAGGUAGGCAUACAUAUUUAUAUUUAGUAUAUAUUACUAUUAUAUGUAUGUAUAAUAAUCAAUAAGAAAAAUAGUUACAAUAAUUUGAUAUUAAAAUUUUAUCCAUGAUUUGAAUUUCAAAGACUCUGAAAAAAAUUACUUUUAAUAUGAUGUCUAAUAGACAUUGAAGGUGGUUUGGUAUUUAAAGAGAUUCUUUUUAACAUUGGUAGUAAAACCAGAAGUAAAUCUAUGAAGACUUUUCUAAAUAGUCUAAUUUAUGUGUAAUUAUAUAACAAAGGUGAACUUGCAUUUAUAUGAUACAUAUUUAAGACCACAUGACAUAAAACUGUUUCUGAAAUUAUAACAUUAUUUUAUGGUGGAGGGGUGACUGAUAAGGAUAAGUGCCAUCUCGUGGGAUUCUUUCUGAAUCUUUACAGAAACUUCGUUUGACCAUCAACAUUAUUGCUCUUGUCUCUCCAAAAAAUAUUCAUCAUCAGUUGAUCCAUAAUUUAUUUAAAAACAUGUGCUUAGUGGCAACUAAGCGACUAACUACACAUCCCAUAGCCAUAUUAUGCCUUAAUAAAUAUUCUGUAUAUUAAUUAACUACAUCAUAUAGUUCAUAAACAUGACGGAGUCCUUACAGUGUUAAAUUUAAACAUGGCACAGCCCACGAGUGUUAUACUGCAGUGAUAUUCUUUCACUUUUCAUUUGAACUAAUUAAAUAAU
RNAcentral lists this long non-coding RNA (1732 nucleotides) under Sus scrofa (pig). RNAcentral describes it as "lncRNA (ENSSSCG00025018885.1)". Lineage: Eukaryota; Metazoa; Chordata; Mammalia; Artiodactyla; Suidae. The record is from RNAcentral.